UGGAUCAAGGAUGCGCUAAUGGACGACACGGAUGACAAGGAAAGUGACAUCGUACAUGUUCUGGGUGUCUUGAGGAGCUUGUCUUUGGAUGAUGCUGAGCAGGUCUUUCUUUCUGGUAACGAUUAUCAUUACAGUGAAGUAAAAGAAUUUAACAGACAGAUUGACAAACAACUGACGAAAGAAGAGAGACCAUUCUAUAGUGGAUACCCUUCCAGCCGCAACCCAGUACUGGGAAACACCCAUUUACAAUUAUAUACUUGAACAUGGGGAGAACAUGCAAACUCCACACAGAAAUGACCACUGGCCCAGCCGGGGCUUGAACCAGCAACCUUCUUGCUGUGAGGCGACGGUUUCAACCACUGUGCUGCCCCAUGUGCUCUAUGCGGGUGAGUGGGAUUGACAAACCACCUGGAGGACACAUUCUUGCUGUCUUAAUGCACCAGACAUUUUGUUAUAAAUAAUCAUGUGCGUUUCAUGUUUAUUUAUAAAACUGCUAAUUUAUCUCAUAGCACUUCAUUUUUGUCUUGAUAUUUAAUAUCUUUUGUUUAAAUACACUAUGAACAGCAGCUGCGCUAAUUAUUUUCCUUGUUCCCUAUUUCCACCUGGGGAUAUUUAUCUAGAGGCCUCUAGAGAUCGUGACCUGUGAAGAGAUGAUGCCACCAUAGAGGACUUCUAGAUGUAUCCAUAAUCCUGGACCAGACCGUAUCAUGAUCAGAUGCAGUGGUGGUCAUGGAGAAGUGGAGAGCAUGAUACUGAUUAAUGAAAGACCCCAGCGACAGAUG
Molecule: non-coding RNA, 782 nt
Organism: Danio rerio (zebrafish)
Lineage: Eukaryota; Metazoa; Chordata; Actinopteri; Cypriniformes; Danionidae
Source: Ensembl